UGUUCUAUGUGUAUGAGAAUUUUGAAAACAAUCGAAUGGUGCAAAGGAGAGAUAUUGGCUCUGGAAGAUUGGCAUUAAGGUUGGAGAAGGAUGCCAACCAAUACCCAAGCACAUUUUUGAGGUUAUUGCCUAUUUAGUAAUUCCGAUCCUUUUCAAAAUUUUUGUGAUUGUUUUCAACUUAGUUGUUAAGAAAUGUAAAGAAUUUGAGUUAAGAUUGACGGUUUAUUCAUUAGUUAUUGAGGUUUAAAUCUGUCGUAGGAAUUAUUAGGAUUUGGUUAGUAAUUGGUUUAGGAUUAGGGUUCAGUUUAGGAUUUGGAUAGGGUUUGGUUUAGAGUUAGGAUUCGGUUUAGGAUUUGGAUAGGAUUUGGUUUAGGAUUUAGGAUAGGAUUUAGGAUAGGAUUUAGGGUUUGGUUUAGGAUAUGGAUAGGAUUUGAUUUAGGAUUUAAUUAGGGUUUAGUUUAGGAUUUAGAAUUUGGAUUUAGGGUUUGAUUAGGAUUUGGUUUAGGAUUUUAUUAGGAUUUUAUUAGGAUUUAAGAUUUAAUUAAUUUUGGCCUAAAGUUUGAAUGAAGUCCAAUAGGAUUUUAACUAGAAUUAAAUUAAAAUUGAAUUAAAAUAUAUUUGAAAGAUAUUUGUGAUUAUUCUAAUAUUUCUUUAAGAUUUUUUAUUAUUUCUUUGAAAUUUCUUUGAGGUUUCUUUGAAUUUG
Molecule: long non-coding RNA, 703 nt
Filed under: Physcomitrium patens
Lineage: Eukaryota; Viridiplantae; Streptophyta; Bryopsida; Funariales; Funariaceae
Description: long non-coding RNA (PPAT_LNC013116)
Source: RNAcentral